GGGGGUAUUGCACCUACCGAAGACUAUCAAACUCCGAAUGCCGUCAUCUUAUACUUGGGAGUCAGACUGUGGGUGAUAAGAUUCAUAGUCGAAAGGGCAACAGCCCAGAUCGUCAGCUAAGGUCCCUAAAUGUAAGUUAAGUGGUAAAGGAUGUGGGAUUGCACAGACAACCAGGAUGUUGGCUUAGAAGCAGCCACUCAUUCAAAGAGUGCGUAAUAGCUCACUGGUCGAGUGAUCCUGCGCCGAAGAUUUCCGGGGCUAAAACUUACUACCGAAGCUACGGCAUCAGUAAUGAUGGGUAGGGGAGCUUCCCAUACGGGUUGAAGCAUGACCGUAAGGACAUGUGGACAGUAUGGGAGUGAGAAUGUUGGCAUGAGUAGCGAGAUGUGGGUGAGAAUCCCACAGGCCGUAAACCCAAGGUUUCCAGGGGAAGGUUCGUCCGCCCUGGGUUAGUCGGGACCUAAGCUGAGGCCGAAAGGCGUAGGUGAUGGACAACAGGUUGAUAUUCCUGUACUACCGAUAACCGUUUGAGAGAAGGGAUGACACAGUAGGAUAAGCUAAGCACACUGUUGGUUAUGUGUGCCCAAGCAUUGAGGCAGUCAAAGUAGGCAAAUCCGCUUUGAUAAUGCUGGGAUGUGAUGGGGAGCGAAAUUUAGUAGCGAAGUAGCUGAUUUCACACUGUCAAGAAAAGUCUCUAUCGAGGUUAAAGGUACCCGUACCGCAAACCGACACAGGUGGGUGAGGAGAGUAUCCUAAGGCCAGCGAGAGAACUGUUGUUAAGGAACUCGGCAAAAUGACCCCGUAACUUAGGGAUAAGGGGUGCCACCAUCAGGUGGCCGCAGAGAAUAGGCCCAAGCGACUGUUUACCAAAAACAUAGGUUUCUGCUAAGUCGCAAGACGAUGUAUAGGAGCUGACGCCUGCCCGGUGCUGGAAGGUUAAGGGGAUCUGUUAGAGCAAUCGAAGCAGUGAACUUAAGCCCCAGUAAACGGCGGCCGUAACUAUAACGGUCCUAAGGUAGCGAAAUUCCUUGUCGGGUAAGUUCCGACCCGCACGAAAGGCGUAACGAUUUGGGCACUGUCUCAACAACAGACUCGGUGAAAUUGUAAUUCCGGUGAAGAUGCCGGAUACCUGCGACAGGACGGAAAGACCCCAUGGAGCUUUACUGUAGCUUGACAUUGGGUCUUGGUACUACAUGUACAGGAUAGGUGGGAGGCUUUGAAACCAGGACGCCAGUUUUGGCGGAGCCAUCCUUGGGAUACCACCCUUGUAGUACUGGGACUCUAACCAUAGGCCAUGAAUCUGGUCUUGGGACACUGUCAGGUGGGCAGUUUGACUGGGGCGGUCGCCUCCCAAAAGGUAACGGAGGCGCUCAAAGGUUCUCUCAGUACGGUCGGAAAUCGUACGUAGAGUGUAAAGGCAAAAGAGAGCUUGAUUGCAAGACAUACAGGUCGAGCAAGGAUGAAAAUCGGACUUAGUGAUCCGGUGGUUCUGCGUGGAAGGGCCAUCGCUCAACGGAUAAAAGCUACCCUGGGGAUAACAGGCUUAUCUCCCCCAAGAGUCCACAUCGACGGGGAGGUUUGGCACCUCGAUGUCGGCUCAUCACAUCCUGGGGCUGUAGUAGGUCCCAAGGGUUGGGCUGUUCGCCCAUUAAAGUGGUACGCGAGCUGGGUUCAGAACGUCGUGAGACAGUUCGGUCCCUAUCCGUCGCAGGCGUAGGAAAUUUGAGAAGACCUGUCCUUAGUACGAGAGGACCGGGAUGGACGUACCUCUGGUGUACCAGUUGUCCUGCCAAGGGCAUGGCUGGGUAGCUAUGUACGGAAUGGAUAAGCGCUGAAAGCAUCUAAGCGCGAAGCCAACUUCAAGAUAAGAUUUCCCACCGCAAGGGUAAGACCCCAGAAAGACUAUCUGGUUGA
This 1914-nucleotide ribosomal RNA is filed under the name Clostridioides difficile. Its description in RNAcentral is "bacterial LSU rRNA". It matches the Rfam family "Bacterial large subunit ribosomal RNA", at positions 922 to 2856 of the family's 2925-position model. The record is from RNAcentral. Lineage: Bacteria; Bacillati; Bacillota; Clostridia; Peptostreptococcales; Peptostreptococcaceae.